CCUACGGGUGGCAGCAGUGAGGAAUAUUGGUCAAUGGGCGGGAGCCUGAACCAGCCAAGCCGCGUGAGGGAAGAAGGUACAGCGUAUCGUAAACCUCUUUUGUCAGGGAACAAAGGCGGGGACUAGUCCCCGGAUGAGUGUACCUGACGAAAAAGCAUCGGCUAACUCCGUGCCAGCAGCCGCGGUAAUACGGAGGAUGCGAGCGUUAUCCGGAUUUAUUGGGUUUAAAGGGUGCGCAGGCGGCCUGUUAAGUCAGCGGUAAAAGCCCGGGGCUAAACCCCGGCCGGCCGUUGAAACUGGCAGUCUGGAGUUGGAGAGAAGUACGCGGAAUGCGCGGUGUAGCGGUGAAAUGCAUAGAUAUCGCGCAGAACCCCGAUUGCGAAGGCAGCAUGCCGGCUCCACACUGACGCUGAGGCACGAAAGCGUGGGUAUCGAACAGGAUUAGAUACCCUAGUAGUC
RNAcentral lists this ribosomal RNA (459 nucleotides) under uncultured bacterium. RNAcentral's name for it is "partial 16S ribosomal RNA". It matches the Rfam family "Bacterial small subunit ribosomal RNA", at positions 338 to 795 of the family's 1533-position model. The record is from RNAcentral.